Molecule: ribosomal RNA, 428 nt
Filed under: uncultured prokaryote
Description: bacterial SSU rRNA
Rfam family: Bacterial small subunit ribosomal RNA
Source: RNAcentral
UGAGGAAUAUUGCGCAAUGGAGGAAACUCUGACGCAGCAACGCCGCGUGAGUGAAGAAGGCUUUCGGGUUGUAAAGCUCUGUCAGGUGGGAAGAAACCUUUAUAGUUGAAUAGGCUAUAAAACUGACGGUACCACCAGAGGAAGCACCGGCUAACUCCGUGCCAGCAGCCGCGGUAAUACGGAGGGUGCAAGCGUUAUUCGGAAUUACUGGGCGUAAAGCGCGUGUAGGCGGUCCCGCAAGUCUGAUGUGAAAGCCCCGGGCUUAACCCGGGAAGUGCAUUGGAAACUGUGGGACUUGAGUACUGGAGAGGAUGGGGGAAUUCCCGGUGUAGAGGUGAAAUUCGUAGAGAUCGGGAGGAACACCAGCGGCGCAGGCGGCUCACUAGACAGUUUCUGACGCUAAGAUACGAAAGCGUGGGGAGCAAACA